GCGGAUGUGGCGAAAUUGGUAGACGCACCAGAUUUAGGUUCUGGCGGGAGACCGUGGGGGUUCGAGUCCCUCCAUCCGCA
Molecule: non-coding RNA, 80 nt
Organism: Bartonella clarridgeiae
Lineage: Bacteria; Pseudomonadati; Pseudomonadota; Alphaproteobacteria; Hyphomicrobiales; Bartonellaceae
Source: Rfam